CCAAGUGGGGACCCUCUGGGUUACACCCUCCCAACCCUCCUUUCCUUCAAAACGUUCAUUAUGGUUGUAAACAAAGAAUUGUGUGGGAUCAUUCAAAAAAAGUGAUUUCUUUCUCCCACUUGAUCGCAGGAGAACCAGGCCCCGGUGUUUUUGUACGUUAUGCCCGUGUGGCGCCCAGCAAAGCGCACGGCACAGAAAAGGAACGCGGUGAACGGUGUUCGGCUGGCUCCACCCGAGAAGGAAUGGAUUGGCUCGUUUUCAACGAACUCCGUUCUGUAUUUCUCCAGCGCGACCAGAGCAGGACGCCACAGUGAUUCAUUCAGGCUGUGAGACUCUCGGCGCGUCCACCGACGACGGGCAGUUGACCUCCCCAAGAGGCCAGAAGCCUGGGUGCGCCCAGACAGCGGAGCUCUAGCCGCCAGGCCGGGCCGGGCACUGGGCAGAGGAGGCUCCUCGGUGCCACCGAGGAAGCGGACGGCUCUGCGACAGCCACGGGUUGGUCCUCAAGUGCUGCCACCGCUUGCCAGUCCCCACCCCUGCCUUCCUUCCCCGAAGAUGAGUGACGGCCCCUUUGUGAGCCGGGGCCUGCUUGUCUACCCCAACGGCCAGCACAGGAGAGCUCCAGCUACACAUGAUUUACCACAACAGCGCCAUUUGUUUUAAUCUUUGGGGGAAAACGGGAUAUGAUGAGACAUAAAGAAACAUUAUUUCCCGAAGGUGGAUUCCAUUUCUUUGACCAUUUAUAAGUCUCAACAAAUAAAUUAUGACUAUUUGGGGAUUGAUAUUGUGUUUCAAUGACUUUCCCAGCUGUUGCUCUGUUGCAUACAUUCUGGAGCAUUCCUGCAUCCACUUGAAAGCCUGCGGCUGCCACACGGCACUGGCGAUACAGCCGGCGAGCAGUUGGCCGCUUCGGCGUGCGGCCUGGACGUGGCGACACCUUCACGAGGCCCGCGAGGGUCAGGGCUCGCCGGAAGGGGGUGAGGAAGACCAGCCGCGUUUGUGGGUGCUUGCGAUGGACGGCGUUUGGCUUUGGCGAGCCCCCGAAAGGCUAGGCGGUGGGGCGACUCUGGCCUCGAUGCCAACCUCGACAGCGGUCGAUGGGUGCCGUCCCUUCUGAGGAGGGCUGUGCUCAUUCAGCGCAGAGGGGACACCUUUCUGAUUUCCUCAAAGCUGCAUCUGGGGUCCGGGGCUCCUGUCCUGGGCCAGGGUGACCGGGAGAGUCCGAGCAAGCCCCGGGGGGAACCAUGGCAAGCCCUGUGGUGCUUUGUGUGUGCCAGCCCCGGGGAAGGCGUGGAAAGAAGGUUAAAUGACACGCUGGCUCUUCAUGAAACCAUGCCAAAGGGUGUAGUCAUUGAUUGGAUGAGGUUUGUGCUUCUCGACCACAUCGGAAUGCCAUUUAGCAUUUCUGCGACCCUAACUCAAAGGUUGUACACUUUCUGCUCUCAGUUGCGUUGGAAACGGAAAAGCUCCUGGAUUUAUGAGUUUUGCAUGGAAGUAGUCAUGUCCCCAUACUUAGUCCCUUUUACUUAGCUGUGUCUCUUCCCGUGUCCUCCAUGCCUCCACACGUCACAGCUUCUUUCUCCUCCUUCCUGUGCAUUUCCUUUCCCUGCAGAGCCUCAGACGGGAUCCCUGCCCUCCGUCAACCCCACGGACGGGGGCUGCUCUUGGGUACGUUGAGUGGACACUUGAAGGCCCAGACCCUGCUUUACAAACGGAGGACUGUGAUGUACACAGGCGGGCACGCUCGCGACCCUGCGUCUCAUUUUCACAGAACACGACGCAUUCCUUGGUUUUGAAUGGGGGCCCGACCCAUGGCCUUGACCUUCAGGAUCGUGAACUGUGACAGAGGAAGAAAAUUCCUUUGUGAAUGGACUGUGGGGCUUCUGAGCAGAUGCAGCAAACAGCUGACCGGGACGUUCCAGCCUGAAGCAGGUGGCAGGAUCCUCCAAAUAGCAGCAAAUCCCCGUGUCAGCAGGCACGGCGAGAGCGGGGGACUGCGGCAGGCCUGUGCCGGGAAGGCCCAAGUCUGUGCCUGGAAGUCACUGCCUGGGGGGAGGCCCGCCAGACAGCGAGGCAGAUGAGUCAGCCUUGAAAACGAUCCCGGUCGUGACCUGGUGGGAUUGGAGAGAACAGAAGGGACGGUCAGAAACCAACAGGUGGGCCGGCCCACAGGAAGGGGUCGCAGACUCACAGCAGGUGGCUGAGCAGUUGGAGGAGAAAUAUGGACACGGGCAGGAAAUGGCUUGGGAAGUCUGGAACUGCAGCCGCUUUUAAGCCGACAGGUUAGGACUUCUUUCUCUUCGUGUGGGUUUCGACCUUCCAGAGGGAACGGAACAGGGCCAGAGUCUUCCAAAGAAUCAGAGCAAGGCAGCACCGUGAAGGGUAAAGGGAACAGACAGAGCACGUGAGUGAGAGGAGGUGGCACACAGACCUAGGGGGCCGAUGGGCGGGGUGGAGGCAGGUGGGGGCCGGAAGGCCCGCAGGUGGCCCAGCUCUGCACGGGCACACUGUUGGAGCGGGUCACUAACAUGCCUCCAGUCUGGCUCCCAAAUCCCGGGGACAGGCUGGCUUCACACGGAAGGAGUCACUCGGGGAAAGCGGGGCGCCUCCUGAAGCAAGUGGGGGUGCUGUUCUCAACAAGCCGUAGUUAGCGUUGGGCUUUGGAGCCACACAGACCUGAGCGAGCCGUCCUCCGUUUCCACAACCAGGCGGAUGCCCUAACAGUAGGGGGAAGAGUCCAUCUAAAAACGAAUCCCAGGAUUGGGACAGUGUUUAUCACCGGCCUGUGCUUCCUCCUUCGUGUUCCUAGUCCCUCUUUCCCCCUUUGAGGCCCAAGAAGGGAUGGUAUUGAGAAGCACUUUCCAGAUGCAGAACCUCAACUCACAGAUGAUGAGUGUCCCCCGUCCGGAGUGCGGGGACACGCCUCAUCGGUCUCUGAGGCCAGGGCUGCCGCUCUUUCCUGUGCCCGGCGGUCACCUGUCCAGCUCAGGGCAGUGGCCUUCGGGGGUUCCCAGCCCCUCCACGUGCCCGGCCAGAGCAUCACGCAAAGGUACUCUCAGAAGAAGCAACCAUGGCGUGAGGAUGUUAAGAGAGCCGGUCCUGGCGGCGAGGGAGGAGAAAAGGGGUCGUAGAAAGCGGGAUGAUGGAAAGUUCGAAAGAGAACUCAAAGGGAAAGAUUCGGGGAAAAGGUGGCAGAUAUUCGAAGGGAUACCUGAACACCUGCUCUAGGAGAUGCAGGGCGCAGAUGAUGGGAGGACCUAAUGCCCACCCGUGGCACCGAUGUCAGCUCAACCCUGAUGACGUCACCCGCCUGAGGUGCUUGCACAAAAUGCCACGAUCUUAGUACUCAGCUGAGAGGGGCCCAAUGAAUGGAGAAGCACUGGCAGACCAAGUUCAGAAGUCUGGAUCCACUUUAUUGAUCAAGGAAUUUAAACCCAGUACAUCCGGAUUUUCUGCUCACCUGCGUUAAAGGGCUUCCAUCAGACUCAGUACGAAGAGAAGCUCAGAGAAGCUGGUACAGCCCUGUUUUCAGAAACAAGAAAACAACAAAGUAGAGUAAGGCCAGCAUCCCACAAGCACGGUGUGGCGAUACUUAGGAGUAAAUGCCAAACUCGAGACCUGCACAUUGGCUUUGUAUUUGAACUUCAGAUUGGAGCCCGAGGUUAGGCCUUCUCAGCCUCUUCCUACAGCUGGUCAAGCUUCAUUUACAGCACACCUGACGACUAGACCCGCUGAUACACGGCAAAGAGCUGUACCUGUUCCCACAAGCUGGACAGGGCGGUGACAUCCAGAUAAAGGACCGGUGUCCUGAGGGAAGGCAUUUUGUCCUCACUGAUCACAGACCGACUGGGCUGGAAACUGGUCUCCUGUUGGCUCUUCGGCAAUUAUGACAAAGUGAUUUCCCAGGUCAGUCUUGGUUUCAGCAACGGUACAAAUAAAUGGGUCUGGAAGAACCGGAAUUUGAUAAUAACUGAAAACAAGUAAAGAGCAGUGAACGCAGUUUUUGAUCCUUCCUAGAUUUCCUUCCAUCAGCUGCCCACAUUUACUCUUUAAACAGGCUUAUACAGCUCAUGCUAUUCAAUAAUUUUA
Molecule: long non-coding RNA, 4089 nt
Organism: Felis catus (domestic cat)
Lineage: Eukaryota; Metazoa; Chordata; Mammalia; Carnivora; Felidae
Exons: 5
Source: RefSeq, a predicted model, not a curated record